Molecule: ribosomal RNA, 450 nt
Filed under: uncultured bacterium
Lineage: Bacteria
Description: partial 16S ribosomal RNA
Rfam family: Bacterial small subunit ribosomal RNA
Source: RNAcentral
GUGGGGAAUAUUCCGCAAUGGACGAAAGUCUGACGGAGCAACGCCGCGUGAGUGAUGAAGGUUUUCGGACUGUAAAGCUCUGUCAUCAGGGACGAACGGCCGGUGGAGUGGAAAGCCACCGGAUUGACGGUACCUGAGAAGGAAGCCACGGCUAACUACGUGCCAGCAGCCGCGGUAAUACGUAGGUGGCAAGCGUUGUCCGGAAUUAUUGGGCGUAAAGCGCGCGCAGGUGGGAUCUUAAGUCCAUUUUUAAAGUUCGGAGCUCAACUCCGUGAUGGGAUGGAAACUGGGAUUCUUGAGUACCGGAGAGGAAAGCGGAAUUCCCCGUGUAGCGGUGAAAUGCGUAGAUAUGGGGAGGAACACCAGUGGCGAAGGCGACUUUCUGGACGAAAACUGACGCUGAGGCGCGAAAGCCAGGGGAGCGAACGGGAUUAGAAACCCGAGUAGUCC